GGCCAGGGACAAUAGAGCCUCUUAAUCCCCCCAGGCAAUGGGAGGGGGAGCACUCUCGUCCACACCCCUCCCCCCUUGCCAAAGCUGAACUCGAAAUGGAGCAUCCACAGAAUGGAGAUCUCCUGCACAAGCCAGGGAUUCUUUUUCCUCAAAGAGCACAGCUCUGGAGUGAGCUCUGUGAAGGCAGCACAGAUGCCUGGAAGGACCCUCUACAGAAGCCUUUGCUCCUGUGUGUUUCCGCUGCAUAGCCCAACCAGACCUCCAUCGCCGGCAUCAGCCCCCAAGGGCUUUCUCCUGCUCUCCCCAACUAGCAGCAACGCCUCCAAGCUCAUGCCUUAUUAUUUAUUCCACCGAAGCAGAGGAGUUGACAACAGCAAAAUCUCUGUUCUUAUCCUACUUGGCUGUGAACUCGAACAAACAAAGAAAAAAAAACUGGGACCAGCCACUGCCCUGGGGAACAGUGGCAGGGUGGAGUGAUCUGAACAUGAGGCAUGAGAAGAACUGAGUGACUACAGUGAUUGGGCUAUAAUAGACUCUGUCACUGGCCCAGCUGUAAUCCCUGGCGCCUGCUGCUUCACUGUGUUCUGCAGGAGUUCCACUGCCCUGAAUCUCUGACUCUGUGCCCGAGGUCUUUUUCUGGAAUUGUGGAAGGUGCUCUGCUAUGUGGGAAACAAGCUGGAAGUUCCGGGAAUCACACUUCCCAGAAGCUACACCCAACCAGUGAUUGACAGGAGUUGAAGUAAAAACAUCAUGGCUUUCUUACCCCUUAAGUGGAAUAUUUUAUACUAUUUUUCAGAAUUUCCCCAAGGAGUUAAGCUGUAAUUGCCCAUCACGGCAGCCGGGUUAAUAAGGUAUCUGUAUCUGCCAGAAUUAAAUGAGACGGCAGAAUCACAUAGUAAUUUGAGCAGGAAAAGCUUAAUAUAAGGAAUUAUCAUGUAAUUAUAGAGUUGUUCUAUAAUUAUGUAAUAUUAUAUUCUAAGCUCCUCUUAUACAAUAUAGGAGAGGAUUUGCAGUAACAAGGGAUUAGAUAGCAAGAUGUAAGAGAACUCUGAAGAAUAUAGGACUAGUGGAUAUAAGGAACAGCCACUACCCCUGGGGCUGAGGUGGAGCACUCCAAGAAUUAAAGAACCUGGAAUAAGAACACCUCACCUCACUCACGGCUCACUGGAUGGUGGACAAGUCCCUGAGUUGUGAUGCUGUAGAACUUUCUGGAAAUUUGCCCUCCAUAUUUUCAAGGGAAGAUGUCAAAGAGAAGUUUCAUCUCUCAGAAAUUAUCUCAAAACCUUCUUGGGGAUUACCAGGGAAAAUUGUCACAGGAGACUCCAUGAGGGGUCAUGUCACUCCUAGGCUGUUCAAGGGAGUUCUGGGGGAAGCUGGGCACUGCUGGUCACAACAGGUUGUAAAAGCUGGGCCCUGGAGAAGCUGUCCGCACUGCAGGAGACUGGGUGCUGCUGGAGUUGCUGGAUGAGCUUAAGGCAUGUGGGGAGAGGAGAACAUUAGAACUAGGAAAUGAAACCUCUCUCUAUUCUACUGUCCCUCCAGCACCCUCUACUGUAAACACUUAGCAUUGUGCCACCUGGCACAGGAGAAGUCUUUACAGGGCCCGUCUAUAACAUAGCAAAGCAGGCAACAAAGGGUGAACUUGGAGUGGCUCACAUGUUGCUCUAUGUUGACUUCUUCCCUUUCCUUUUUCAUUCCCCUACUCCCCUUAUUGGUUUUCCUUAAAUUCUAAAUAAAAUACAGUCAUCCUCAGUAUCCAAGGGGGAUUGGUUCCAGGCUUCUCAGAGAAUACCAAAAUCUGUGGAUGCUCAAGUCUCAGUUAUAAAAUGGCGUAGUAUUUGCAUAUAAUCUACACACGUCUUCCCAUAUACUUUAAAUCAUUUCCAUGUUACUUACAAUACCUAAAAAAACGCUACAUAAAUAGUUGUCAUUGUCAAUUACUUUUUAUUUUUGUAUCGUUAUUUAUUAUUUUUUUCAAAUUUUUUUUACUGCCUGUUUGGUUGAAUCAUGGAUGUAGGGUUCAUGGAUAUUGAGGGCUGACUAAUCGCACUUGACUUUUGACUCCGUGUUGGCUUUUGGGUAAACCCAGACUACAUUUUGAAAGUAAAGCCAAUAAAAUUUUCUAAUGCAUUGUAUUUGGGAUAUGAGCAAAACAGAGGAGUCAAGGAUGCUUCCAAUGUUUUUGGCCUAAACCAUGGGGAAAAUUUCAUCUUUAUAAUAUUAAGUUUCUUAGUUUUAAUACUGAAUAUGAUGCCUCCUUCCAAUUUCCCUGUAGAGCCCUUUGCAUCUUUCAUUGAAUUUAUUCCUAAGCAUUUAAUAGUUUUGAUGCCAUUGUAAAUGAUAUAUUUUUUCUUUUUCUUUUUUUUAAAAAUAGGGUCUCACUUUGUUAUGCAGGCUGGAGUGCAGUGGCACGAUCUUGGCUCACUGCAGCCUCGAACUCCUGGGUUCAAGUGAUCCUCCUGCCUCAGUCCCCCAAGUAGCUGGGACUACAGACAUGCACCACCAGGCCUGGCUAAUUUUUUUGUAUUUUUUGUAGAGAUGGGGUUUUGCCAUGUUGCCUAGGCUAGUCUUGAACUCCUGAGCUCAAGUGAUCCACCGGCCGUGGCCUCCCAAAGUGCUGGGAUUAUAGGCGUGAGCCACCACAUCCAGCUUGUAAAUGGUAUAUUUUUAAAUGUCAGUUUCUAAAAUGUUUUGUUAGCAUAAAGAAAUACAAUUGACUUUUUAAUACCAAGCCAUCUUGCUAAUUUAAUAAUUUAGUUCUAGAUCUGAUUUAGACUUUAUAGUUGUGCAAUUGUACUAUCUGUGGAAAAUGACAAUUUUUCUCUUCCUUUAUAAUCUUUAGCUUUUUUUUCUUUUCCUUGGCUUUUUGCAAGAUAAUGGGAUGUCCAGUGUGGUGUUAUAUACAAGUGGUAAUUGUAAGUGUCCCUGUUCUGUUCUUUUUGUUUGUUGUUCUCAAGCUCAAAGAAAAACAACUUUGCUAUUUCGUCAUUGAGUAUGAUAACACUUAAACUUUACUUACUGUAGGAUUAUUGUACAUAAUCUUUAUUGUAUUAAAGAUGUUCCUAUUUUGCUAAGAAUUCAAAUUUUGCUAAGAAUGUUUUUAUCUCAGAGGUAAUGAUGAAUUUUACCAUAUACUUUUUCUGUCUCUGUUGAGAGGAUAAUUAGAUUUCUCUUCUUUGUUAAUUCUCUCCUCAAGGUCAUGCUGAAUACCAAAUUUCCAUAUAAACCCUAGGAAGUGAUGAAUUCUCUAGACUAGGAUCUUUGCAAAAUUAUCUAGGGCUUCUAUCAUUUGCCUCCCCUUUCUAUCCCUGCCCCCUCUCUCCUAGACCCUUUAAAUGCCAUAUUCUUUUGGGAGGACAAUUGGACAAUUGGCAUAUUGGAGGACAUAUUCUUUUUUUUUUUUUUUUUUUUUUUGAGUUUUUUGAGACAGAGGCUUGCUCUGUCCCCCAGGCUGGAGAGCAGUGGUGUGAUCUCGGCUCACUGCAAGCUCCGCCUCCCAGGUUCACACCAUUCUCCUGCCUCAGCCUCCCGAGUAGCUGGGACUACAGGCGCCUGCCACCAGGCCCGGCUAUUUUUAUUUUUUUAUUUUCUUAUUUUUUAGUAGAAACGGGGUCUCACCGUGUUAGGCAGGAUGGUCUCGAUCUCCUGACCUCGUGAUCCGCCUGCUUCAGCCUCCCAAAGUGCUGGGAUUACAGGCGUGAGCCACCGCACCCGGCCUUGGAGGACAUAUUCUUUUGGGAGGACAGGAUGAUGCUUUCUUCCUAACCUCAGUGUUUAUAGCAUUAGCUUUAGGUUUGAGGUCCUUUAGGCUCUUAGCCUUUGAGGAUUCAAAACUAUUUUCCUUUCACAAAAGCUCUUGUUUAUAAACAAAGUUUUAACUUUCAAAAUUAUUUUACCCUUUUACAGUUUUAUAAGCCAAUUUUUGGAGUAAAAAGUGAAGCAUUUGACUUUUCAUUUUCAGAAUUUGUUCCUUUAUUGGGCAGCAAACCUCAGCCUCAAUAUGCAUAUUUCUUUGUAUUUCUUUUCUAUUUUGGGGGACAGUGUCUCAUUCUGUCACCCAGGCUGGAGUGCAGUGACACGAUCAUGGCUCACUGAAACCUCAACUUCCCUGGCUCUAGUAAUCCUCCCACCUCGGCCUCUCGAGUAGCUGGGACCACAGGCACCUGCCAUCAUGUCCGGCUAAUUUUUGUAUUUUUGGUAGAGACAGGGUUUUGCCAUGUUGCCCAGGCUGGUCUCGAACUCCUGAGCUCAAGCGAUCCACCCUCCUUGGCUUCUCAAAAGUCUUAGGAUUAUAGGUGUGAGCCACUGUGCCUGGCUAAUGUGUAUAUCUCUAAUGUCAUUAUGGAAAACAAAAAAUGAAUCAGUGAGCAAAACAUAGUAAAUGUUUUCAAAAUAUUAUAUUACUAUUUGUUCACUUUCAUGGGAAUAAGUUGUGGCUCAGGUAGGAAUGUGCAGCAAUUGUCCAAGUGACAAAUGAUAGUGGCUUGGUCUAGAGAUGGCAGUGGAGAGGAGAGAAAUGGUUAUGUUCAAGGGAUCUUUAGGAAGCUGAAUCCAUUUAAUCUGGUCUCUGAUUACAUUUGUAGAGCACUGAGUAUGAGGAAGGAAUCAAGAAUGGUGCUUGAUAGUCUGGAUGGUUUGGGCGUCUGGUUUCCU
This 4653-nucleotide long non-coding RNA is filed under the name Homo sapiens (human). Its description in RNAcentral is "HSALNT0237555". The record is from RNAcentral. Lineage: Eukaryota; Metazoa; Chordata; Mammalia; Primates; Hominidae.